ACAUGUUGAACGGGUUCGACCCUCAGGUCCUAGCUCAAGCACUGAAGAUCGACGUUAGGUUGGCUCAGGAGCUUCAGAACAAACAAGACAACAGAGGAAACAUUGUUCGUGUUAGGGGACCUUUCCAGGUUGCUAGGCCACCUCUAAGACAGUCCUACGAGAGCGAGAAGUGGAGACACCCACGUGGCCCACCACAAAGCCCACAAGACAACGGCUUGGAGGAGACUAUCUGCAGCAUGAGGACACACGAGAACAUUGACGACCCA
RNAcentral lists this long non-coding RNA (266 nucleotides) under Brassica napus (rape). Its description in RNAcentral is "long non-coding RNA (BNAP_LNC006039)". The record is from RNAcentral. Lineage: Eukaryota; Viridiplantae; Streptophyta; Magnoliopsida; Brassicales; Brassicaceae.